CCAACGUGGAUACCCCAGGAGGUCACUCUCCCCAGGCUCUGUCCAGGUGGCACAGGGGAGAAAAGGGCUCUGCCCAAUGAUGUACAGUCCCAUUCCACGACGCUGGAGAGGAAGGUGGGCCUCAGGCCCGCAUCUGCAUAUUCCUACAGCUUCUCAGUCCUAUAGACAAUGCCUGAAGAGACAAACCAUGCAGGAAACAUAU
Molecule: small nucleolar RNA, 202 nt
Filed under: Dasypus novemcinctus (nine-banded armadillo)
Lineage: Eukaryota; Metazoa; Chordata; Mammalia; Cingulata; Dasypodidae
Description: Small nucleolar RNA SNORA73 family (ENSDNOG00000042316.1)
Rfam family: Small nucleolar RNA SNORA73 family
About the family: U17 (SNORA73A and SNORA73B) also known as E1 belongs to the H/ACA class of small nucleolar RNAs (snoRNAs). Vertebrate U17 is intron-encoded and ranges in length from 200-230 nucleotides, longer than most snoRNAs.
Source: RNAcentral